GAUGAACGCUAGCUACAGGCUUAACACAUGCAAGUCGAGGGGAAACGCCAUCGUAAGCUUGCUUUUGAUGGGCGUCGACCGGCGCACGGGUGAGUAACGCGUAUCCCACCUGCCCACCACUUGGUGAUAACCUUGCGACAGUAAGCCUAAUACCCCAUGAUAUCUCUAGAAGACAUCUGAAAGAGUUUAAAGAUUUAUCGGUGCUGGCUGGGGAUGCGUCUGAUUAGCUUGUUGGCGGGUUAACGGCCCACCAAGGCAACGAUCAGUAGGGGUUCUGAGAGGAAGGGCCCACACAGUGGAACUGAGACACGGGCCAAACUCCUACGGGAGGCAGCAGUAAGGAAGAUAGAAGAAGGGACGAGAGUCUAAACCAGCCAAGUAGCGUGCAGGAAGACGGCCCGAUGGGUUGUAAACUGCUUUUAGAAGGGAAUAAAGUGAGUUUAGUGAGAGUUUUUGCAGGUACCGGAUGAAUAAGGACCGGCUAAUUCCGUG
Molecule: ribosomal RNA, 492 nt
Filed under: uncultured bacterium
Lineage: Bacteria
Description: partial 16S ribosomal RNA
Rfam family: Bacterial small subunit ribosomal RNA
Source: RNAcentral